This 425-nucleotide ribosomal RNA is filed under the name uncultured bacterium. RNAcentral describes it as "partial 16S ribosomal RNA". It matches the Rfam family "Bacterial small subunit ribosomal RNA", at positions 354 to 796 of the family's 1533-position model. The record is from RNAcentral.
GUGGGGAAUAUUGCACAAUGGGGGAAACCCUGAUGCAGCGACGCCGCGUGGAGGAAGAAGGUCUUCGGAUUGUAAACUCCUGUUGUUGAGGAAGAUAAUGACGGUACUCAACAAGGAAGUGACGGCUAACUACGUGCCAGCAGCCGCGGUAAAACGUAGGUCACAAGCGUUGUCCGGAAUUACUGGGUGUAAAGGGAGCGCAGGCGGGAAGACAAGUUGGAAGUGAAAUCCAUGGGCUCAACCCAUGAACUGCUUUAAAAACUGUUUUUCUUGAGUAGUGCAGAGGUAGGCGGAAUUCCCGGUGUAGCGGUGGAAUGCGUAGAUAUCGGGAGGAACACCAGUGGCGAAGGCGGCCUACUGGGCACCAACUGACGCUGAGGCUCGAAAGUGUGGGUAGCAAACAGGAUUAGAUACCCGGGUAGUCC